GCCCCGGUAGCUCAGCCGGUCAGAGCGCACGCUUGGUAAGCGUGAGGUCGCGGGUUCAAUUCCCGCCCGGGGCU
Molecule: transfer RNA, 74 nt
Filed under: Hadesarchaea archaeon
Lineage: Archaea; Methanobacteriati; Hadarchaeota (SeqCode); Hadarchaeia (SeqCode)
Also listed under: 1 other name
Description: tRNA-Thr
Rfam family: tRNA
About the family: Transfer RNA (tRNA) molecules are approximately 80 nucleotides in length. Their secondary structure includes four short double-helical elements and three loops (D, anti-codon, and T loops).
Source: RNAcentral